UACGAAGGGGGCUAGCGUUGUUCGGAUUUACUGGGCGUAAAGCGCACGUAGGCGGAUCGUUAAGUCGGGGGUGAAAUCCUGGAGCUCAACUCCAGAACUGCCUCCGAUACUGGCGAUCUUGAGUCCGGAAGAGGUGAGUGGAACUCCUAGUGUAGAGGUGGAAUUCGUAGAUAAUAGGAAGAACACCAGUGGCGAAGGCGGCUCACUGGUCCGGUACUGACGCUGAGGUGCGAAAGCGUGGGGAGCAAACAGG
Molecule: ribosomal RNA, 253 nt
Filed under: uncultured bacterium
Lineage: Bacteria
Description: partial 16S ribosomal RNA
Rfam family: Bacterial small subunit ribosomal RNA
Source: RNAcentral